CCUACGGGUGGCAGCAGUGGGGGAUAUUGCACAAUGGGGGGAACCCUGAUGCAGCGACGCCGCGUGGGUGAAGAAGCGCCUCGGCGCGUAAAGCCCUGUCAGCAGGGAAGAAAAUGACGGUACCUGAAGAAGAAGCCCCGGCUAACUACGUGCCAGCAGCCGCGGUAAUACGUAGGUGGCAAGCGUUAUCCGGAUUUACUGGGUGUAAAGGGCGUGUAGGCGGGAAAGCAAGUCAGAUGUGAAAACCAUGGGCUCAACCUGUGGCCUGCAUUUGAAACUGUUUUUCUUGAGUACUGGAGAGGCAGACGGAAUUCCUAGUGUAGCGGUGAAAUGCGUAGAUAUAUGGAAGAACACCAGUGGCGAAGGCGGCUGUCUGGUCUGCAACUGACGCUGAGGCUCGAAAGCAUGGGUAGCGAACAGGAUUAGAUACCCUUGUAGUC
This 440-nucleotide ribosomal RNA is filed under the name uncultured bacterium. Its description in RNAcentral is "partial 16S ribosomal RNA". It matches the Rfam family "Bacterial small subunit ribosomal RNA", at positions 338 to 795 of the family's 1533-position model. The record is from RNAcentral.